GACGAACGCUGGCGGCGUGCUUAACACAUGCAAGUCGAACGGUAAGGCCCUUCGGGGUACACGAGUGGCGAACGGGUGAGUAACACGUGGGUGAUCUGCCCUGCACUUCGGGAUAAGCCUGGGAAACUGGGUCUAAUACCGGAUAGGACCACUGCCUGCAUGGGUGGUGGUGGAAAGCUUUUGCGGUGUGGGAUGGGCCCGCGGCCUAUCAGCUUGUUGGUGGGGUGAUGGCCUACCAAGGGGACGACGGGUAGCCGGCCUGGGUGGGUGACCGGCCACACUGGGACUGAGAUACGGCCCAGACGCCUACGGGAGGCAGCAGUGGGGAAUAUUGCACAAUGGGCGCAAGCCUGAUGCAGCGACGCCGCGUGAGGGAUGACGGCCUUCGGGUUGUAAACCUCUUUCAGCACCGACGAAGCGCAAGUGACGGUAGGUGCAGAAGAAGGACCGGCCAACUACGUGCCAGCAGCCGCAGUAA
RNAcentral lists this ribosomal RNA (478 nucleotides) under uncultured bacterium. Its description in RNAcentral is "partial 16S ribosomal RNA". It matches the Rfam family "Bacterial small subunit ribosomal RNA", at positions 28 to 523 of the family's 1533-position model. The record is from RNAcentral.